GCAAGCAUUGAAAAGCAUAUACACUGACUUUUAAUCAGUGGGUCGCAGGUUCGAUUCCUGCAGCGCGCACCA
RNAcentral lists this transfer RNA (72 nucleotides) under Rhodospirillaceae bacterium. RNAcentral describes it as "tRNA-Lys". Lineage: Bacteria; Pseudomonadati; Pseudomonadota; Alphaproteobacteria; Rhodospirillales; Rhodospirillaceae. The record is from RNAcentral.